RNAcentral lists this ribosomal RNA (809 nucleotides) under Kocuria rhizophila. Its description in RNAcentral is "bacterial SSU rRNA". It matches the Rfam family "Bacterial small subunit ribosomal RNA", at positions 388 to 1204 of the family's 1533-position model. The record is from RNAcentral. Lineage: Bacteria; Bacillati; Actinomycetota; Actinomycetes; Micrococcales; Micrococcaceae.
GCAGCGNCGCCGCGUGAGGGAUGACGGCCUUCGGGUUGUAAACCUCUUUCAGCACNNNNNNNGNGAAAGUGACGGUACGUGCAGAAGAAGCGCCGGCUAACUACGUGCCAGCAGCCGCGGUAAUACGUAGGGCGCAAGCGUUGUCCGGAAUUAUUGGGCGUAAAGAGCUCGUAGGCGGUUUGUCGCGUCUGCUGUGAAAGCCCGGGGCUUAACCCCGGGUGUGCAGUGGGUACGGGCAGACUUGAGUGCAGUAGGGGAGACUGGAAUUCCUGGUGUAGCGGUGAAAUGCGCAGAUAUCAGGAGGAACACCGAUGGCGAAGGCAGGUCUCUGGGCUGUUACUGACGCUGAGGAGCGAAAGCAUGGGGAGCGAACAGGAUUAGAUACCCUGGUAGUCCAUGCCGUAAACGUUGGGCACUAGGUGUGGGGAACAUUCCACGUUUUCCGCGCCGUAGCUAACGCAUUAAGUGCCCCGCCUGGGGAGUACGGCCGCAAGGCUAAAACUCAAAGGAAUUGACGGGGGCCCGCACAAGCGGCGGAGCAUGCGGAUUAAUUCGAUGCAACGCGAAGAACCUUACCAAGGCUUGACAUACACCGGACCGGGCCAGAGAUGGUCUUUCCCCCUUGUGGGGCUGGUGUACAGGUGGUGCAUGGUUGUCGUCAGCUCGUGUCGUGAGAUGUUGGGUUAAGUCCCGCAACGAGCGCAACCCUCGUUCUAUGUUGCCAGCACGUGAUGGUGGGGACUCAUAGGAGACUGCCGGGGUCAACUCGGAGGAAGGUGGGGGAUGACGUCAAAUCAUCAUGCCCCUUA